AUUGAACGCUGGCGGCAGGCCUAACACAUGCAAGUCGAGCGGAUGAAGGGAGCUUGCUCCUGGAUUCAACGGCGGACGGGUGAGUAAUGCCUAGGAAUCUGCCUGGUAGUGGGGGAUAACGUCCGGAAACGGGCGCUAAUACCGCAUACGUCCUGAGGGAGAAAGUGGGGGAUCUUCGGACCUCACGCUAUCAAAUGAGCCUAGGUCGGAUUAGCUAGUUGGUGGGGUAAAGGCCUACCAAGGCGACGAUCCGUAACUGGUCUGAGAGGAUGAUCAGUCACACUGGAACUGAGACACGGUCCAGACUCCUACGGGAGGCAGCAGUGGGGAAUAUUGGACAAUGGGCGAAAGCCUGAUCCAGCCAUGCCGCGUGUGUGAAGAAGGUCUUCGGAUUGUAAAGCACUUUAAGUUGGGAGGAAGGGCAGUAAGUUAAUACCUUGCUGUUUUGACGUUACCAACAGAAUAAGCACCGGCUAACUUCGUG
RNAcentral lists this ribosomal RNA (484 nucleotides) under uncultured bacterium. RNAcentral's name for it is "partial 16S ribosomal RNA". It matches the Rfam family "Bacterial small subunit ribosomal RNA", at positions 30 to 507 of the family's 1533-position model. The record is from RNAcentral.